Hyaena hyaena (striped hyena) is the source of this 1810-nucleotide long non-coding RNA. RefSeq lists it as uncharacterized. NCBI's taxonomy places the organism in Eukaryota, Metazoa, Chordata, Mammalia, Carnivora, Hyaenidae. The record is from RefSeq and is a predicted model, not a curated record. The transcript has 3 exons.
AGGACCUGCCCGGGGCCCCAGUGGCCGUGGGGCGACACCGCCGAGCAGCCCAAUGGGCAGGGGCCUGCGCCACGGGCCAGCUCCACGGCAGGGCCCGAGGGAGGAGCUGGGGGAGGGGGGCUUAGACAACACUGACUCCUCGUUCUGGAGGCCGAAGUUCAAGGGCAGGCUGCAGGCAGGGGCAGUUCGGCGGGCGGCCCUCCGCCUGCAGAGGCCACCUUCUUGCUGGGCCCUCCCAUGGCCAGCCCGCUCCUGAGGGCGCCACCCCCAUCUGAUCAGGACCCUAUGACCUCAUUUAACCUUUGCAGCCCCGCCAGGCCUGUCCCCAAAUCCAGUCACACUGGAAUAUGGGCUUUAGCAGGUGUCUCGGGGUACUCCCCUCCUCGGGCUCGGACUCACCCUCCAGAACGCCAGAACGCCAGGGGGUCUUUCCCCCAUGGCUGCUCCUGCAGGGUCUGCAUCACGUCCCCGUCCCCCUCGGGCUCUGAGGAAACACAACUAGACGGACAGCUCACUGGACACACAACCAGGACCAGAACACGCAUCCUGGGGCCACAGUAGCCCGAGGCGCGGGCGCCCUUCCCGGAGCAGCACGUGGGGCACUGUGACGGGGACAGAUGUACCAAGGGCGUGACCUAAAUAAGCAUGAGGACCUCAUAUCAAACACAGCAACUGGGUUAGAUGUUCAUGAGAGAUAGAGGAGCACCGUAUCGGUAGAAGCAAGAAAAAAUCAUAAGAAAAGGAAGCCUCAGUUCUGACAACCGUGAUUGUAGAUGACAAAUGGGGACGGGGACAGCUGAAUGGGGGCAAGUGGUGAGAGCAGAGCAAGCACAGAAGGUCAGCAGGAAACCACUGCGAGGUGAGACUGGAUGUGCAUCGAGCAGCUGAGAGGACACAGUGGAGGGUUCCCUGGAGCACGGGAGCCCCGGGGCAGGGGGUGCCGUCACCGCCCACCCUCCCGGGGCUGGCGCCACGUCAGAGCCGGAGGCGAGGGUCAGCGGUCAGGCUCCCCUGAGCUCUCAGAGGGACAGGCCUGCACUGGGACGUCCCGGGAAAGCCGUCCAGACAGCAGGGGGCGGACAGAGGGACACGGACCUGGGGUACAUGCGCGAGGGGCAGGCCGGGAACUGGAUCUCAUACAAGCCUGAGCGGCAGAGUGAAUCAGUCGGAACCUGUACAGCCGUUGGGAGGGAACCCAGGGCCGAGGAGGAGAGGGUUAGUGUCCCUGCAGGAGACGCAGGCCCACGGGCAGAGAGGCCCACAAAACCGCAGGCCGUACCCUGUGCGCCGCUCCGUGCGGGCCCCUCUGUGCAGGCCUCUCCAUGCGCCCCACCCUGUGCGCCCCUCCGUGUGCGCCACUCCCUGUGCGCCCUUCCAGGCCCGCCCCUCCCUGUGCACCGCUCCGUGCCCGCCCCUCCGUGUGAGUCUCCACGCGGGCCUCUGUGACGCUCCCUGGGACACUCCCUGCAGGCCUUUCCACGGGGGCUGCUGGAGCACCCGCAGCACAGCACUGCAGAGGCUCCCCCACCCUCACAAGUGCUCCAAGAACCCGAGGGGGCGGCCGCAAUCCGCCGAUGACCUACCUCGCCCCAGAACUCAGCGCUGCGACGUCCUCCAGGCGCUGUGUGCAGCAGCGACCCUGACGGAAGCAGGUGGGAACACAGACGCGGGAAUCCCAGCACCACGGACGCACAGGCCCUCUGGGCGGCUGGACGCCACACAAAUGGACAAUGGAUACUUCCAAACCACCUUAAAGUCAGUAAGAACGAUGCCAUCUAUGAAAAAUAAUGUAAAUCAGAAUCAGAAAUAA